Molecule: unclassified non-coding RNA, 239 nt
Filed under: Hevea brasiliensis (rubber tree)
Lineage: Eukaryota; Viridiplantae; Streptophyta; Magnoliopsida; Malpighiales; Euphorbiaceae
Source: RNAcentral
AAGUCCAACACCAGCUGCACAACAUCAACUUGAAAACUCUCCGGAAUGGAAUCCAUAUGUGAUUGGUCCGGUUGUUGCUGUCUGCACUUUCAUUGUCAUGUUCAGCUACUACAGAAUACUAAAACGACUUUGCUGCUCACUGAAUACUCUAACUUUCUCCAGAAACAGAUUUCAAAUGAGGCGUAUAGGUGAGAAUAGCUUGGGAGAUUCAUCAUUGCAGUAUUACAGCCAUGGACUGG